Molecule: transfer RNA, 66 nt
Filed under: Bacillota bacterium
Lineage: Bacteria; Bacillati; Bacillota
Description: Firmicutes bacterium (anaerobic digester metagenome) tRNA-OTHER
Source: RNAcentral
CGCGGGGUGGAGCAGCCCGGUAGCUCGUCGCGAAGGUUGUCGGUUCGAAUCCGGCCCCCGCAACCA